Molecule: transfer RNA, 74 nt
Filed under: Dreissena polymorpha
Lineage: Eukaryota; Metazoa; Mollusca; Bivalvia; Myida; Dreissenidae
Description: tRNA-Ile
Rfam family: tRNA
About the family: Transfer RNA (tRNA) molecules are approximately 80 nucleotides in length. Their secondary structure includes four short double-helical elements and three loops (D, anti-codon, and T loops).
Source: RNAcentral
GGCCGGUAAGCUCAGUUGGUUAGAGCGACGUGCUAAUAACGGGAAUGUCGUUUGUUCGAUCCCAAUACUGGCCA